RNAcentral lists this ribosomal RNA (449 nucleotides) under uncultured bacterium. RNAcentral's name for it is "bacterial SSU rRNA". It matches the Rfam family "Bacterial small subunit ribosomal RNA", at positions 355 to 796 of the family's 1533-position model. The record is from RNAcentral.
UGGGGAAUUUUGGACAAUGGGCGAAAGCCUGAUCCAGCCAUGCCGCGUGCGGGAAGAAGGCCUUCGGGUUGUAAACCGCUUUUGUCAGGGAAGAAAUCUUCCGAGCUAAUACUUCGGAGGGAUGACGGUACCUGAAGAAUAAGCACCGGCUAACUACGUGCCAGCAGCCGCGGUAAUACGUAGGGUGCAAGCGUUAAUCGGAAUUACUGGGCGUAAAGCGUGCGCAGGCGGUUAUGCAAGACAGAUGUGAAAUCCCCGGGCUUAACCUGGGAACUGCAUUUGUGACUGCAUAGCUGGAGUACGGCAGAGGGGGAUGGAAUUCCGCGUGUAGCAGUGAAAUGCGUAGAUAUGCGGAGGAACACCGAUGGCGAAGGCAGUCCCCUGGGCCUGUACUGACGCUCAUGCACGAAAGCGUGGGGAGCAAACAGGAUUAGAUACCCCCGUAGUCC